RNAcentral lists this ribosomal RNA (1438 nucleotides) under uncultured organism. RNAcentral describes it as "16S ribosomal RNA". It matches the Rfam family "Bacterial small subunit ribosomal RNA". The record is from RNAcentral.
GCGGCGUGCUUAACACAUGCAAGUCGAACGGAAAGGCCCUGCUUUUGUGGGGUGCUCGAGUGGCGAACGGGUGAGUAACACGUGAGUAACCUGCCCUUGACUUUGGGAUAACUUCAGGAAACUGGGGCUAAUACCGGAUAGGAGCUCCUGCUGCAUGGUGGGGGUUGGAAAGUUUCGGCGGUUGGGGAUGGACUCGCGGCUUAUCAGCUUGUUGGUGGGGUAGUGGCUUACCAAGGCUUUGACGGGUAGCCGGCCUGAGAGGGUGACCGGCCACAUUGGGACUGAGAUACGGCCCAGACUCCUACGGGAGGCAGCAGUGGGGAAUAUUGCACAAUGGGCGGAAGCCUGAUGCAGCAACGCCGCGUGCGGGAUGACGGCCUUCGGGUUGUAAACCGCUUUCGCCUGUGACGAAGCGUGAGUGACGGUAAUGGGUAAAGAAGCACCGGCUAACUACGUGCCAGCAGCCGCGGUGAUACGUAGGGUGCGAGCGUUGUCCGGAUUUAUUGGGCGUAAAGGGCUCGUAGGUGGUUGAUCGCGUCGGAAGUGUAAUCUUGGGGCUUAACCCUGAGCGUGCUUUCGAUACGGGUUGACUUGAGGAAGGUAGGGGAGAAUGGAAUUCCUGGUGGAGCGGUGGAAUGCGCAGAUAUCAGGAGGAACACCAGUGGCGAAGGCGGUUCUCUGGGCCUUUCCUGACGCUGAGGAGCGAAAGCGUGGGGAGCGAACAGGCUUAGAUACCCUGGUAGUCCACGCUGUAAACGGUGGGUACUAGGUGUGGGGUCCAUUCCACGGGUUCCGUGCCGUAGCUAACGCUUUAAGUACCCCGCCUGGGGAGUACGGCCGCAAGGCUAAAACUCAAAGGAAUUGACGGGGCCCCGCACAAGCGGCGGAGCAUGCGGAUUAAUUCGAUGCAACGCGUAGAACCUUACCUGGGUUUGACAUGGAUCGGGAGUGCUCAGAGAUGGGUGUGCCUCUUUUGGGGUCGGUUCACAGGUGGUGCAUGGCUGUCGUCAGCUCGUGUCGUGAGAUGUUGGGUUAAGUCCCGCAACGAGCGCAACCCUUGUUCACUGUUGCCAGCACGUUAUGGUGGGGACUCAGUGGAGACCACCGGGGUCAACUCGGAGGAAGGUGGGGAUGACGUCAAGUCAUCAUGCCCCUUAUGUCCAGGGCUUCACGCAUGCUACAAUGGCUGGUACAGAGAGUGGCGAGCCUGUGAGGGUGAGCGAAUCUCGGAAAGCCGGUCUCAGUUCGGAUUGGGGUCUGCAACUCGACCUCAUGAAGUCGGAGUCGCUAGUAAUCGCAGAUCAGCAACGCUGCGGUGAAUACGUUCCCGGGGCUUGUACACACCGCCCGUCAAGUCAUGAAAGCUGGUAACACCCGAAGCCGGUGGCCUAACCGUUGUGGGGGAGCCGUCGAAGGUGGGACUGGUGAUUAGGACUAA